Molecule: ribosomal RNA, 472 nt
Filed under: uncultured bacterium
Lineage: Bacteria
Description: bacterial SSU rRNA
Rfam family: Bacterial small subunit ribosomal RNA
Source: RNAcentral
UGGGGAAUAUUGGACAAUGGGCGCAAGCCUGAUCCAGCCAUACCGCGUGGGUGAAGAAGGCCUUCGGGUUGUAAAGCCCUUUUGUUGGGAAAGAAAUCCAGCUGGCUAAUACCCGGUUGGGAUGACGGUACCCAAAGAAUAAGCACCGGCUAACUUCGUGCCAGCAGCCGCGGUAAUACGAAGGGUGCAAGCGUUACUCGGAAUUACUGGGCGUAAAGCGUGCGUAGGUGGUCGUUUAAGUCCGUUGUGAAAGCCCUGGGCUCAACCUGGGAACUGCAGUGGAUACUGGACGACUAGAGUGUGGUAGAGGGUAGCGGAAUUCCUGGUGUAGCAGUGAAAUGCGUAGAGAUCAGGAGGAACAUCCAUGGCGAAGGCAGCUACCUGGACCAACACUGACACUGAGGCACGAAAGCGUGGGGAGCAAACAGGAUUAGAUACCCUCGUAGUCCCUGAGCGGGCUGGCAAGGCGCAU